RNAcentral lists this microRNA precursor (75 nucleotides) under Xiphophorus maculatus (southern platyfish). RNAcentral's name for it is "mir-205 microRNA precursor family". It matches the Rfam family "mir-205 microRNA precursor family". The record is from Rfam by way of RNAcentral. Lineage: Eukaryota; Metazoa; Chordata; Actinopteri; Cyprinodontiformes; Poeciliidae.
GUGUUCUAUCCUUCAUUCCACCGGAGUCUGUAUCUGUAUUUAACCAGAUUUCAGUGGUGUGAAGUGUAAAAGACA